UUAUUUCCAACAUUGAUUCAAGGACUGGAUCUGUGCCAUACAGCAAUGAAGUGGUUCUCCAUUUUCCACGUAUUCAGGCACAUCAACGUAAACAACCACUAAUGCAAAGGGAAGUAAGUAGCAUGUGAUUUCCUAUUUUCCAUUGCGUUGGAACUAGCGGCCACUCGCCAUCCGUGCAGCGCAGCCGCUGAAACGGCCAAAGCUAUUUACGAUGCGGUGGGCAGCCGAUUCGGCGGCUGCGAGCACUCCUCCUAGCUUGGCUUCUUGAGGACGGCGAGCGGUGUGCAGCCCAUUGCCCGGCCAUCUUUGGCACCAUCGCUGCCGUCUCCGACCUCCGUGGUCGUCGACGUCGAGUCGCUACCUAUCACGCACUCGCCUUCGUGUUAGUGUCGACUAGGGCCUCCGUCCUAAGCUUUGGCUUCCGCGUGAGCGGCUCCUCUAGCACCGCCGCGGUCCGCCUUCGCUGUGAAGCGCUCACCACUGCCUCAUGUCCCUCGCCGUCCUGGUGGCUAGCCCACCGUCGAGCGGCCACUCCGACCGCGCUGGCACAUGGAGCCCAGCGACGCUCGGGCUCGCGAACAGCGCCUUCAAAGUUGUUGCGCCUGGCAUACACCUCCAUGGUGGCUCCUCCUCUGUGGAUGAGCGCGGCGGGAUAUUUUCUCAUCUCCGGUGAUGCGGCCAUCCGGCCGGCGCUGGCGUCGCCUCCUGCCUCGAUGUGCAUUUGGGAUAGAAAGCUACUGGAUUUCUUUAGUCGCUCUCUCUCUUAUCCGACUAGUUGACCACACUAGUGCUUAAAUUUCUGUAAAUAUAUUGAGUACUAUGUAUUCCAUAUAAUAUGUUGAUGUAAUAUAUCUUCAUGUUUCUUACAUGUUGAGACUAAUUACAUCUAUUAUUUGCAAUUGAGAUUUUUACCCCUCGUGAAGAUAAAUUCAAUACCUCUAAAGUAUAGAUUUACAAUUGAGAAUUUUCUUCUCUCG
This 977-nucleotide long non-coding RNA is filed under the name Hordeum vulgare. RNAcentral describes it as "long non-coding RNA (HVUL_LNC004917)". The record is from RNAcentral. Lineage: Eukaryota; Viridiplantae; Streptophyta; Magnoliopsida; Poales; Poaceae.